GCAUCCGUAGCCGGCUGCUCAAGUUUCCGGUUAAAUCCACACGCUUAACGUAUGGGCUGCCGGAAAUACUGUUCAGCUAGGGAGUGGGAGAGGUAGACGGUACUCGAUAGGAAGGGGUAAAAUCCUUUGAUCUAUUGAUGACCACCUGUGGCGAAGGCGGUCUACCAGAACACGUUCGACGGUGAGGGAUGAAAGCUGGGGGAGCAAACCGGAUUAGAUACCCGGGUAGUCCCAGCUGUAAACGAUGCAGACUCGGUGAUGCAUUGGCUUAUGGCCAGUGCAGUGCCGCAGGGAAGCCGUUAAGUUUGCCGCCUGGGAAGUACGUACGCAAGUAUGAAACUUAAAGGAAUUGGCGGGGGAGCACAA
RNAcentral lists this ribosomal RNA (366 nucleotides) under uncultured Nitrososphaerota archaeon. RNAcentral's name for it is "bacterial SSU rRNA". It matches the Rfam family "Archaeal small subunit ribosomal RNA", at positions 515 to 881 of the family's 1478-position model. The record is from RNAcentral. Lineage: Archaea; Thermoproteati; Nitrososphaerota.